GCAUGAAUAUUGAUGGAGACAGGAAGGGAGGAGAGAGAAGGAGAACUCCAUUUAGGGUGACCAGACAGCAAGUGUGAAAAAUCGGGACGGGGGUGAGGGGUAAUAGGAGCCUAUAUAAGAAAAAGACCCAAAAAAUCGGGACUGUCCCUAUAAAGUGAGGACAUCUGGUCACCCUAACUCCAUUGCCCUUUCCCCCUGGUGUCAGCUGGAACAGGGGCAGAAGAUCCCACAACUAGGGGACAAAUACCCAUGGAAGAAUAGGAAUUUGUUUAGGCGCUCUGUCCUUAGAGUUGUCACAGCUCCAGUUCUAGGACAGCAGCAGCCCAAUGCUGCUGAAGAUCAAGGAAACCGGAAGGCGGAUACAGACUAACACGGCUACCACCCUAAAACCUGUAUGCUGUUCCUGUGAUUUUCAGGGAGAGGGAGGAAUCAGAAUGGAGGCUCCUGGCUGCUCCCUAAAGAAGCCAGAAUAAAGGUGGGGGCAGCUGGAUUGUCCCAGGAAGGUGAUUAAAGUAAGGGAGGAAUGUUUUUGUGGGAGGUAUCUCCUUUGAGGGAAGAGUUCCAGUCCCAUUGUGGGGAGAAGUGGUUUUUCAGUUCAGUUUCAGAGGAUGAGACCUGAUUGACAAAUAUUACCUGUAUACACAUAAUCUGCUAUUCACCCAGCCCCACUGCUCAUUGCCCCAGGAGUGAGCAGCUCCUCCUGCCUGUAUUAUACCUCUGCCCUUGAGAGAGGCAGACAAUAGGUCACAAUUUCAAGCUGGCAAGUAUUUUCCCCCCUUGUUUACAUUCCUGAGCAUAACUGCAGGCUCCUGCUUCAGACAAGUUCUGUCUACUUUAUCUAAGGAUAACUCACUAAGGAUACAUUGUUAUCAUGCCUUGACUGGCAGUCAAAACAAUGACUAUUUCAACCAUCUCCAAUCAAAGAGCCAUAAAGAGAAGGGAGGGUGGGCAUCCUUCCAGUGAACUCUCCUUUGGGAAUGUUCCGUUCCCAUUGCAUCAGUCUGGGGCAUCAUUAACUAAAAAUGUGCAAAGAUCUGGAUAUUUGGUUUGUAUUCUUACACACCACUCUUUUAGAAAUCGCCUAAACCCCAUGAAAAUAACAAGGCAAGAGAAUAAAGAUGCUCACUACAUGGGGUUCUAAUAAAUAUUCAGCUAACACUCAGGUGUGGGCAAAUGUCAGUNNNNNNNNNNGUAAGUAGUAGUGUGUGUGUGUGUGUGUGUGUGUGUGUGUGUGUGUGUGUGUGUGAGUGAGAGAGAGAGAGAGAGAGAGAGACAGAGAGAGAUUUGGCAAUGAAGAAGGAUGCAAAAAAGAUGGAGGGUGAAAGUGAAAAAUAAGGACAAAGGGGUGAAUAGAAGAUAGAAAAAUAGUUUGUAAGAACUAAGGCUGAAAUCCUAGCUCUGUUGAUGUCGAUAGGAGUUUUGCUUUUGACUUCAGUAGGGCCAGGCAUUCACCCCAGAAGUAUUAGAGUUAAUACUCCUCCUGGUGUAGGAGGAUCUAGCAGAAAAAAAGAUCUGAGGUAAAAACCGUGAAGAGUGACUUAAUGUGUAAAGUAAUCUGAGGAAAAGUUGAACAUUUUCCAGAGUUCUUUUGCAGCAAGACUUUGAGGGAUAAAAAGAGCAGAAGUGAACCAGAGCAAUGGAGUGUUAUCCCAGGAGUUUAAGCCUAAGUGUCAGUAG
Molecule: long non-coding RNA, 1677 nt
Organism: Chrysemys picta bellii (western painted turtle)
Lineage: Eukaryota; Metazoa; Chordata; Testudines; Emydidae
Source: Ensembl